AGAGUUUGAUCCUGGCUCAGGAUGAACGCUAGCGGCAGGCUUAAUACAUGCAAGUCGAACGGGAUUCGGGGGUAGCAAUACUUUGAUGAGAGUGGCGCACGGGUGCGUAACGCGUAUGCAACCUACCUUUAACAGGUGAAUAGCCCCGAGAAAUCGGGAUUAAUACACCGUAACAUUGCGCUGUGGCAUCACAGUGCAAUUAAAGAUUUAUCGGUUAAAGAUGGGCAUGCGUGACAUUAGCUAGUUGGUGAGGUAACGGCUCACCAAGGCAACGAUGUCUAGGGGUCCUGAGAGGGUUAUCCCCCACACUGGUACUGAGACACGGACCAGACUCCUACGGGAGGCAGCAGUAAGGAAUAUUGGUCAAUGGGCGCAAGCCUGAACCAGCCAUGCCGCGUGCAGGAAGACGGCCCUAUGGGUUGUAAACUGCUUUUGUCAGGGAAUAAACCUCCGAACGUGUUCGGAGCUGACGGUACCAUAAGAAUAAGCAUCGGCUAACUCCGUG
RNAcentral lists this ribosomal RNA (505 nucleotides) under uncultured bacterium. Its description in RNAcentral is "bacterial SSU rRNA". It matches the Rfam family "Bacterial small subunit ribosomal RNA", at positions 8 to 507 of the family's 1533-position model. The record is from RNAcentral.